UCGGCCUCGACGAUGGUCCGACGGUUUCUUUCCGGCGGCAAACAGAGGAAGAAAGGGUCGUCCGUGCUGUGGCUCGGCUCUCUCUUUCUCUCUCUCUCCCUCUCUCUCAGCCGGCAGCCCAAGGAAGAAGAACCCCCAACUAAGAAGGGACUUGGGUUUGCGGCUCCUCUUCCAAUGGCUUCAACGAGAGGAGGAGAAGCCCUAAAAACAACUAGACGCCGGCUUCUUCGGAUCUCCAAAACCUUGGGGCUGCCGGUCCACUGGACCGGCUCAGUUCCAGGGUCUCACACACCGAAUGUGUCAU
Molecule: long non-coding RNA, 304 nt
Filed under: Phoenix dactylifera (date palm)
Lineage: Eukaryota; Viridiplantae; Streptophyta; Magnoliopsida; Arecales; Arecaceae
Description: long non-coding RNA (PDAC_LNC012527)
Source: RNAcentral